GACGAACGCUGGCGGCGUGCUUAACACAUGCAAGUCGAACGGAAAGGCCCUGCUUUUGUUGGGGGCUCGAGUGGCGAACGGGUGAGUAACACGUGAGUAGCCUGCCCUUGACUUUGGGAUAACUUCAGGAAACUGGGGCUAAUACCGGACAGGAGCUCCUGCUGCAUGGUGGGGGUUGGAAAGUUUCGGCGGUUGGGGAUGGACUCGCGGCUUAUCCGCUUGUUGGUGGGGUAGUGGCUUACCAAGGCUUUGACGGGUAGCCGGCCUGAGAGGGUGACCGGCCCCAUUAGGACUGAGAUACGGCGCAGACUCCUACGGGGGGCAGCAGUGGGGAAUAUUGCACAAUGGGCGGAAGCCUGAUGCAGCAACGCCGCGUGCGGGAUGACGGCCUUCGGGUUGUAAACCGCUUUCGCCUGUGACGAAGCGUGAGUGACGGUAAUGGGUAAAGAAGCACCGGCUAACUACGUG
This 468-nucleotide ribosomal RNA is filed under the name uncultured bacterium. Its description in RNAcentral is "partial 16S ribosomal RNA". It matches the Rfam family "Bacterial small subunit ribosomal RNA", at positions 28 to 507 of the family's 1533-position model. The record is from RNAcentral.